The sequence is a transfer RNA, 68 nucleotides long. It matches the Rfam family "tRNA". From Rfam's summary of the family: Transfer RNA (tRNA) molecules are approximately 80 nucleotides in length. Their secondary structure includes four short double-helical elements and three loops (D, anti-codon, and T loops). Further hydrogen bonds mediate the characteristic L-shaped molecular structure. tRNAs have two regions of fundamental functional importance: the anti-codon, which is responsible for specific mRNA codon recognition, and the 3' end, to which the tRNAs corresponding amino acid is attached (by aminoacyl-tRNA synthetases). tRNAs cope with the degeneracy of the genetic code in two manners: having more than one tRNA (with a specific anti-codon) for a particular amino acid; and 'wobble' base-pairing, i.e. permitting non-standard base-pairing at the 3rd anti-codon position.
UGGAUGUAGUUUAUAAAAAUUUUAGUCUGUGAAUCUAAAGAUGAGGAUUAAUUAUCCUCUAUCCACCG